UUGAUUGAUUAUUAUGAGUUUGGUGAUUGACAUUUUAAAAACAACAAAAAGAAACGUAAGAACAACAAAUGUAAGAAGGAAGGAAUUUCAUUAAAGCAAGAAAGUAGGUACAAAUACAAGAAAAGUUAAACAUCUUCUUUUACUGGCUGGUCUAUAACCUCCUCUGUAUCUGCCUCUCCCUCAUUUCUAACUUCCUCAAUAGGAGCGGGAUGACUGGCUCUGGUUUUAGGGAGAAGAAGAGAUUGUCAGAUUCUUGUCAUUUCUUCUGAAAUUCUUCCUAUUCAGCCCAGAUUAACGUUGGUGAGCUUGCGCAUACAGCUAAGUUUACUUGCCCAAUAUCAAAUGGCCCCACAACGACUUGGGUGUGUAGAAUGUGAUUUGAUCUUAGCUUGGGAAUAUAACCUUGUAUCUUUGUCGUGGUUUCUAACUUAUAACAAUUCAAGUCUUCGUAGUUUUCCUUCUGCAUCCUCUUUAAAUCAGCCAACCGUCAUUCCUACAAGUAUUUGAUAGAUUAAUAAGUGGCUUCCCCUUAUUUUUAGGUUUGUCUUACUCUUUUUAAUAAUGGCUUCCCCUUAUUUCAAAUUUCAAGUUUAGGUUGAUGGGUUAUUAUGAGUUUGGUGAUUGGCAUUUUGAGAACAACAAAUGUAAGAAGGAAGGAAAUUUCAUUAAAGCAGGAAAGUAGGUACAAAUACAAGAAAAGUUAAACAUCUUCUUUUACUGGCUGGUCUAUAACCUCCUCUGUAUCUGCCUCUCCCUCAUUGCUAACUUCCUCAAUAGGAGCGGGGAUGGCUGGCUCUAGUUUUAGGGAGAAGAAGAGGUUGUUAGAUUCUUGUCAUUUCUUCUGAAAUUCUUCCUAUUCAGCCCAGAUUAACGUUGGUGAGCUUGCGCGUACAGCCAAGUUUACUUGCCCAAUAUCAAAUGGCCCCACAACGACUUGGGUGUGUAGAAUGUGAUUUGAUCUCAGCUUGGGAAUAUAACCUUGUAUCUUUGUCGUGGUUUCUAACUUAUAACAAUCCAAGUCUUCGUAUUUUUCCUUCUGCAUCCUCUUUAAAUUAGCCAACCAUCAUUCCUCCAAGGAUUUGAUAGAUUAAUA
RNAcentral lists this long non-coding RNA (1093 nucleotides) under Gossypium barbadense (sea-island cotton). RNAcentral describes it as "long non-coding RNA (GBAR_LNC002415)". The record is from RNAcentral. Lineage: Eukaryota; Viridiplantae; Streptophyta; Magnoliopsida; Malvales; Malvaceae.